GUGUGACAGUCAGCUGACUUCCUGUUGCCUACAAGAUGUAGGGUUCUCAGCUCUGGCACCACAUCACACCUGCCUCCAUAAUGGACGGAACCUCUGAAACUAGACCACAGCCUGGGGUUCUCACACUCUUCUCACGGCGGGACAAAGCUGGAAGGGAUACUCAGCCCUGAAGGAAAUGCUGUUCAGUCUUGGGAACUGCAGUGCCCAUGGAAGCCGGAAGAGGGCGUUGUAUCUCCUGGAGCUGUGAGCUGGGAUGUGACUGCUAGACAUUGAACAUGGGUCCUCUGCAAGAGCAGUACUUGCUCUUGACCAUCAAGCCGUGUCUCCAGCCCCAGGACAUCUUCCUUAAUUGUCCCUUGGAGUAGGUGGACCUUAUGUCUAUGUGUUACUUUCAUUGGUUAAUAAAGAAACUGCCUUGGCUUUUUGAUAGGGCAGAAUUCAGAUAGGUGGAGUAGACUGAACAGGAUGCUGGGAGAAAGAAAGCAGAGUCAGGCAGACGCCAUAAUUCCCCUUCCCGAAAUGGACGCAGGCUGGACUCAUGUCGGAAAGCCACGACCUCAUGGUGGCAUACAGAUUAUUAGAUAUGGGUUAGUCAAGAUGUGGGAGUUAGCCAAUAAGAGGCUAGAACUAAUGGGCCAGGCAGUGUUUAAAUGAUUACAGUACCGUGUAAUUAUUUCGGAGGGUAAACUAGCUGGGAUCCGGGUGGGAAUGUAGCCUGCCACUCCUUCUACAGAUUGGCGCCCAGAGCAGUGGUUCUCAACUUUCCCAAU
Molecule: non-coding RNA, 770 nt
Organism: Myodes glareolus (Bank vole)
Lineage: Eukaryota; Metazoa; Chordata; Mammalia; Rodentia; Cricetidae
Source: RefSeq, a predicted model, not a curated record